Molecule: non-coding RNA, 30 nt
Filed under: Mus musculus (house mouse)
Lineage: Eukaryota; Metazoa; Chordata; Mammalia; Rodentia; Muridae
Source: RNAcentral
CUGGAAAGUCCACGUUUUUUGCCAACAGCA